AAACAGUUCUCUACACGGGCACACUGUUGUAACACUGCAAGGAUUAUUUGCUCACCUGUAAAAUGGGGCUAGAGGUAGCUUCCCUCGCGAUCUCCUAGGGUGGCUGUGGGAAGCUCAUGUGAAAAGGUUUGCAUUGCUAAUGCCAUGAAAAGUGGUGGAGGGAGGUCAAAUAAGUUUAACACACAUUGACGGAGCAGCUCUGAGUUGCAGCCCUCCUAUUCAGUUCCUGAACUUCCAAAAUAAAAGACUAAGGUUUUCAAGGCGUUCACAGCCUAGAGAAGCAUCAAAGGGUGGGGAUGAGGAUGAUGUGACUGAGUGGGCAAAGAUGGGCAGGGGCCUUGCAGUCAUCAUCGUCCAGUAAAGUGUUAAUCUUAACCUGAACAAGUCCAACCAUUGAGAGGUAGCCAAAGAAAGUAAGAGGGGCUCAGGAUCCAUCAGUGACUGGCCUGGCUUCCAAUCCCGGCUCUUUCUCUUCUUCCCCUUGGGCAGCGUCCGUUCUCUCCGCUGUAAGAAUGGAGCAAGCGGUUCUCACUGUGCAGAGUGGUGGAUCCAGAAAGAGCAUUGUAACUGUCCUCCUGUAGUUCAAGUCCUUUAUGUUACAGAGAGAGCAAUGUCUGCUGAAGGAGAGUGAUUUGCACUGUAGAGGAAGAGCGUCAGAGAGAUUUGAGGAUUACAUGUAGUAGAAGGACCUGACAGUUCUCUUGCAGGAUCUCCUUCCCAGCCUUCAGAAAUUGCCGGUCUGGGAGUUGGGGGCAAGGAGAAGAUCCUGCAACCCAGUGAUUCCAUGGAAAGCAGAAAGAAGGACAUAAAGAAACGGAUACUUGGUGACAUCUUUGACUCACUGGAUCAAACCUUGCCUGAAGCUCACAUUUCUGAAAUUUCCAGAUACAAGAACAAAUACUUCCUCUUUAUUGUUUUACUAGAUUUGAGACAAGCUUUAAGUUUCUCAGACUCUUCCUCUUCCUAACAGAUUUAUCAGAAGCUGAAAGCUCUGAUCUUGUUGGGAUGCGGAUCGUGUCAGGAGAAGGCUUACUUUGCACGCUUUUCUUAGUCUGGUUGCCUAACUCAAGAACCUCGGCAUGGCUCUGUUACUUCUCUACUCAGACAAGCAUCCCUGCAGACACUCACUAGGCUAACUCUGUCUUUAUUUUUAGAAUUAGACCUUUACGAGAAGCACAGUUUUGUCUUCAGUUUCCUCUCCCCCCACCCGGAAUGGCCUGAGCCGAAGCCAGCUCCCUCCGAGAAGUCAUUACCGCCUGACUUGCGUUUGAUAUUUAGACACCUUGGUCACAACAUCUUGCAUUCUCUCGGGAUGCUGAUUUCUAACUGCUCUUUGGCCUUUCCUGCAUUGGUCCUCCUCAGGCAGGGGAUCCCUGCUCUUCUAUAUUAGUGAGAAAACCAAGGCUCAGAGAAACUGUGGAUUUUCUAAGGAUGCUGGCUCCCCGUCCCCUGUCCACCAUGAGUCAAAGCAAUGUGAGUCCCUCACCAGAUGCAACUGCCCAGUCUUGGACUUUCCAGUGACCAGAAUCAUGAGCCAAAUAAACCUCUUUUCUUUAUGAAUUACCCAGCCUCAAGUAUUCUGUUAUAGCAAAACAAAACAGACAAAGACAGUUUACCUACUUACUUACUAACUCAGGAAAUAUUUUUGAGCAUCUAUUAUGUGGAUUACACCACAAAAGGAUGAACAAUGCAGACAUCAUCUUUGCUGUAAAAGAGCUCAUGGGCCAGCAGUCAAGAUAGAUAUUGAACAAGUGAAAGUCUGGUUAGAUGCACAACUUAAUGUCUGAUGGGAAACAUUCCCCCUAAGGCAAAAACGCCCCUAAGAUGUAUUCUGGAGAAUUGGGACCAAUUUGACCCUCAGAUGCUAAGAAACGACUUAUAUUCUUCUGCAGUACCGCCUGGUCAGAUAUCCGCUUCAAGGG
RNAcentral lists this long non-coding RNA (1922 nucleotides) under Homo sapiens (human). Its description in RNAcentral is "HSALNT0221704". The record is from RNAcentral. Lineage: Eukaryota; Metazoa; Chordata; Mammalia; Primates; Hominidae.